RNAcentral lists this ribosomal RNA (501 nucleotides) under Hannaella sp. SWU-NAPS5-1. Its description in RNAcentral is "partial 26S ribosomal RNA". It matches the Rfam family "Eukaryotic large subunit ribosomal RNA", at positions 112 to 627 of the family's 3401-position model. The record is from RNAcentral. Lineage: Eukaryota; Fungi; Basidiomycota; Tremellomycetes; Tremellales; Bulleribasidiaceae.
AAUUUAAAAUCUGGCGUCUUUCAGGCGUCCGAGUUGUAAUCUACAGAAGUGUUUUCCGUGCCGGACCGUGUCCAAGUCCCUUGGAAUAGGGUAUCAAAGAGGGUGAUAAUCCCGUACUUGACACGACAACCGGUGCUCUGUGAUACAUUUUCUACGAGUCGAGUUGUUUGGGAAUGCAGCUCAAAAUGGGUGGUAAAUUCCAUCUAAAGCUAAAUAUAGGCGAGAGACCGAUAGCGAACAAGUACCGUGAGGGAAAGAUGAAAAGCACUUUGGAAAGAGAGUUAAACAGUACGUGAAAUUGUUAAAAGGGAAACGAUUGAAGUCAGUCAUGUCUAUUGGUUUCAGCUAGCUCUGCUAGUGUAUUACCUUUAGACGGGUCAACAUCAGUUUUAGACGGUGGAAAAAGGCAUGAGGAAAGUAGCAACUCCGGUUGUGUUAUAGCCUCGUGUUGCAUACACUGUCCGAGACUGAGGAAUGCAGCUCGCCUUUAUGGCCGGGGUU